UUGGAGGGCAAGUCUGGUGCCAGCAGCCGCGGUAAUUCCAGCUCCAAUAGCGUAUAUUAAAGUUGUUGCAGUUAAAAAGCUCGUAGUUGAAUUUCGGAAUCUGUCCGUUGGUCGGGCUUCAUUGUCCGUACUGGCGUGGUGGGUUCUUACCUUCUGAAUAACCAGCAUGCCAUUUACUUGGUGCGUUGGGGAAGCAGGACUAUUACCUUGAAAAAAUUAGAGUGCUCAAAGCAGGCUAGUGCCUGAAUAUAUUAGCAUGGAAUAAUAAAAUAGGACGGCAUGGUUCUAUUUUGUUGGUUUCUAGGAUCACCGUAAUGAUUAAUAGGGAUAGUUGGGGGCAUUAGUAUUCAAUUGUCAGAGGUGAAAUUCUUGGAUUUAUUGAAGACUAACUUCUGCGAAAGCAUUUGCCAAGGAUGUUUUCAUUAAUCAAGAACGAAAGUUAGGGGAUCGAAGACGAUCAGAUACCGUCGUAGUCUUAACCAUAAACUAUGCCGACUAGGGAUCGGACGAUGUUAAUUUUUUAAUGACUCGUUCGGCGCCUUACGGGAAAC
Molecule: ribosomal RNA, 551 nt
Filed under: uncultured Glomeromycotina
Lineage: Eukaryota; Fungi; Glomeromycota
Description: SSU rRNA
Rfam family: Eukaryotic small subunit ribosomal RNA
Source: RNAcentral